GGCGCUAGACAUGGGGUGUGAGGGAACAUUAAAAAACUACCCUGUUCUGUUUAAAGCUGCUUGUCUCCCCUGGACUUCAAACUGCAUGUGUGUCUUGGCAUCCUUCUCCGGGCGCUUUCAUGGUUUUCUGAAGACAGGCGAAGAGGUAGAAGAAAAUCUGUCUCAAAGCCAGUUUGUAAAGCAUUGCUAUGCACUUGGACACCUGCCUUUGACUGACUGCAGUGGUGCCGCUCGCGUGCUUUUUCAGGGUUAAACACUGCCUCCUCAACCUCAUCUUGUUUUUUGCAUGUGACACAAUGCAAAGAAAAGAAAAAAUAGGGAUGCUUUGGAGGAGACGUUAACAAAGCCGUUUGCUGCUGAAUGGACAGAUUUCCAGGAAACCUCAAGUCUAAAAUGGCCGUGUUUUCUACAGGACUUGGCCUCAGCCACGGCUGCUGCUCUCCCGACACCUGCAGAGUGCCCCUGAGUCCUAUCGAAAAGCUGACC
Molecule: long non-coding RNA, 486 nt
Organism: Gavialis gangeticus (Gharial)
Lineage: Eukaryota; Metazoa; Chordata; Crocodylia; Gavialidae
Exons: 2
Source: RefSeq, a predicted model, not a curated record